This is a long non-coding RNA of Oncorhynchus tshawytscha (Chinook salmon), 4622 nucleotides long. NCBI's taxonomy places the organism in Eukaryota, Metazoa, Chordata, Actinopteri, Salmoniformes, Salmonidae. The record is from Ensembl.
GGAGAGCCAGUUGGUUACGUUAGUUGCUAAACAGUUCGCAUACAAGCGGUUGGUAGGCGACAGUUGGAAUGUUUGCGUUCACACACUAUUAUCAUGAGCGGUCUCGAACAGUGAUUAAAUUAUUUGGGAAGGAAGUUUGUUAGUAACAGUACGCAUGCACAAGUUAGCCGUUUAGCUAGCUAACAAACUAUUUAAAAACAAAUCAAACUUGACUGUCAACAGCGAGUGCAAAAUGCCAGUUCAAACGAUGCAAUUGGCAUUAUACGAUGCAACUCGUUUUGUAGAAACACAAUUUCACGCAAAUAGCUUUGCUUGAUCAACAGCACUAGCUAACUAACAUAGUUAGCUCAUUUGAAUAUCCUCAAGGCCAACGUGAGUAGUUAGCUAGCUAACGCGUUGGUCUAGCCCUUUGAUUUGGUGAAGAAUGGCUGGUACGGUAUUGGGCGUGGGAACUUUUUUUUUCUUCCAUUGCUCUUAUCUGGAUUGUAGCUUUCGUGCUGGGGAUGAUCCUCUUGAGAGCUACUGGACCAACUAACUCAGAGACCCUGUCACCAUUCAAAGAUUUUGAGGUAAGCUAUAAUACUGUAAUCACACACACACACACACACACACUUGCAAGUGAACUGCAGCUGGCUGCCUCAAUAGUUGCCUUGUCAGAGCAGAAAGUUGUUGUUGGCACACUUGGGCUUCAAAGGCUCUCUUCAGAAGUGUGAGCCACUGGUGUCAUGUGUUUUCUAAUAUUGAUACUCAAGUUGAACAGGGUACUAACAGCAGCAUCAAAAAUGGUCUUGGCCACACAGCACUUUACUGUGCACUGGCUGAACGUCACUCAGGAUUACACAUACACUGUUAUGUUGAAAUUGUAGUGUUGAGGGCUACCCUGAAAAAAUAAAAGUUAAUAAAAAACAUUUUAUAUUUAUGUCUGCUAAAUCACUGCAGUGCGGUAUUGGCUGAGUUUUAAUGGAGUAUGAAGAUCUAUUGAAUUUGAAUAGAGUAGUUGAGCUCAUCAAAGGAUUCCCCUGAACAACACAGAGGGUUUUGUCCCAAACAAGUAAUCUGCAACAUUUUUUAAAUCAUCGUGGCUUUUGUUUUGUGGUCCAUGUAUGUAGGCCUAGCAGAGUGGCCUGAUGGCCCUGGCUGCAGAGCAGCAUUCAGAACAUGUGGCAGUGUGUUUGUCGUAAAGACCUGGUCUGAUUUAUCUCUCCCCAACAGCAGCACAAACAGACUGCAGUGCUUUCCUCCUGCACCGCCUGCCAAAUAAUGCAGCCAGAUAAAUAAAGCUGCCACCCCACAGAGGGCACCGCCAGCCUGGCCAGUUUGUGUUAGGUUUGUGUAUGGGGAAAACCAGAACUACAGGGAGACAUGAACUGCGUCUCAAAUGACACCCUAUUCUCUAUUUGGUGCAGUACUGCAAUAAAUAGGGGAUAGGGUGCCAUUUGGGACGCAUUCAUAGUGCUGUAGGCCUAGUGUCCUGUUAGUUUAGGCCAAUGGGCAAGAUCACCUCACACAUGGACCUGAGGAAUCAGAUUCAGGCAAUCUAUUUUUGACUGCAUGCAUUCAUAAUUUUUAUUUUUUAUUUCACCUUUAUUUAACCAGGUAGGCAAGUUGAGAACAAGUUCUCAUUUACAAUUGCGACCUGGCCAAGAUGAAGCAAAGCAGUUCGACACAUACAACGACACAGAGUUACAUAAUCAUGUGAAUACAUUCAGGAUUUGCUGUUCUGCCAUGAUCCUUUUAAGGUUUUCUAUGUUCCCACAUCGAAGUGUUAAUGUAGUUAGGUUUAUGUAGUGAAAUAUUAAUUGACUUGUGGAUGAGUUUCAAGUCUUUGGAAUGUGUAAAAAAAACAAUGCUAUUUUAUUGAUUUACUGGUAGGGGUACAUCAUUUCUAGGCCAUAUUCAAAUAAAAAAUAAACAAGCAUAGCUAUGAUCGUUUUAAUUCUGCUGCCUAUUGCACAUUGUAAAUAGUUGUCUCAAUGGUCUACAACUGGAGUACUAGCUAUCGUUACAUCAAAAACAAUGCCAGUAGGUCUAUUGAAAUACGGGGGUAUAACAGGCAACUAUCUUGUCUGUUAUACCUGUCUUAGAAGAGGCUCAACCAGAUAUUCCUUACCACAUAGAUCCUAUUAAAUUACAUUCUAUGUUUUUGUGACUUACCUCCUAAUAACUAGCUAUUGUGUGUGUGUGUGUGUGUGUGUGUGUGUGUGCUAAAAUAAUAAUAUGCACCGUUUAAAUAGCUAACAAAAUGGCCACAAAAUGCACAUUCUACACGCUCACACACACAACGUGCACACACAUUGAUACUGUACACCAGUGGAGGCUGCUGAGGGAAGGAUGGCUCAUAAUAAUGGCUGGAAUGGAGCGAAUGGCAUCAAACACAUGGAAACCAUGUAUUUGAUACCAUUCCGCUCCAGCCAUUACCACGAGCCCGUCCUCCCCAAUUAAGGCGCAACCAACCUCCUGUGCUGUACACACACUCUCAAUCAUCAUAUAUGCGGCUGCUAGUCUAUCAUAUAUCCUAGUCACCUUACCCCUAUACAUGUCUACCUCUUAUCAAUCCAGUGCCUUAGGGGUAAGGUGACUAGGAUAUAUGAUAAACAGACUAGAAGCAGUAUAUAUGAUGAUUGAGAGUGUGUGUACAGCACAGGAGGUUGGUGGCACCUUAAUUGGGGAGGACGUGCUCGUGGUAAUGGCCGGAGCGGAAUAGGUGGAAUUGUAUCAAAUACAUCAAACGCAUGGUUUCCGCUUGUAUGUGACAGAGAGAGAGUGUGUGUGUGAACACGAGUGUAAGAAACAGCUAACCUCUCGCUGUUAAACAAAAGAAAAAUAACACAGUGCCAAUUAGGGGCUGCCCUAGACAGGGCCCCAGUACCAAGCAGUCCGAUGCCACAUUAAUAAAACAUGGCCCCCAGCUCUGGGCUCUGCUCGCUGGCUAAUUGGCAAAUAAGAAAGUGAGAUGCAUUAAAUGAGAGAACACUGCAUUCGCCAGAGACGAUGCCCCCCCCCCUUUGCCUCACACUAAGGCCCUAGUAAGUAUCCUAUCUUUUGAGGAAUAUUGGUCUUAAUCUAUUCAAAAAAAAUGUUUGUCAUGAAUCAUUUGUGUUUUUGCUAUCAUCAAGUUUCAACAUGCCAAAAUGAUUUUUAGUUGAAAAGACAUUUCAAGUGGAUGAUGCAACAUGUGAUCAUAUUGCAGACAGUGAUUAUUAGCUUUAAGGAAAGCCUUGAAUGACUCACAUCGCUAUUAUCAAGUCUCUUGCACUAUCAUGUCAAUUUCCUGAAUGAGGCCAUGUUUGCUUGAGUACAAUAUAAUAACUACUAAGUCAAGUCAGACACUGUGAUACGUUUACCAAAGUCCAUGUUAAAUGCCCAAUGCAGUUGUUUUCAUCUCAAUAUCAAAUCCUUUCUGGGUAACAAUUAUUGCCUAACUUAGCAAGAGCAAUUUCUCAAGCAUGAAUUUUACUAGGACAGUCUGAGUGGGGAGGGGAAAACUAGCUGUUUAAUGGCAGAGGGGUUUGGAACGCUGUUUGUUAUUGGUCUAACUAAUUGACCUCCUGAUGAUGUCGAGGCAGGCCAAAACUGUAUCCCACCAAAACAAGGUGACAUUUCAGGCAGUCUUUUCAAACACCUCUUACACUAAAAGGGCAUUAUCAUAAUUUUCACAUGUUCACACUUUUAUUGCACACUUAUAGUGUGCGCCUAUAUAACACACACAGGGAAAUCACGUUUUUGACUGCACUGGGCCUUUAACAUUUGGCUUAUAAUGAAAUGUAAGGGGUAACCUGCCUUGCCUUGCCUUCCAUUUUCUCCCUCCAGAACUGAUUGCAGUGGCUCACUUGUGACAUCUGUUGGAAGAAAGAGGAAUUACACAGACCAUUGAAACACAAGAUACACACUUAUCAAACAUACAGAAACCAUCUAUCCUAAACUAACCCAUUUAUCAUCAGUUUGUACUGAUGAUAAACCAAUGAACUGAUAACUGUCUGAACAUCUCUUUCCUCCUGCAGACCGUAGACACUUUCUUCAUCAGCCGAUACGUCCUGCUGUCGGUGGCCAGCGUAGGCUUCUUGGUUGCUCUGUUCGGCCUGCUGCCCCUCCAUUUCCUGGAAGCUGUCUAAGCCAAGCCCUUGAACACACUAGAGCUGAGUGGCCAGGCCAAGUUGGCAUGCUAGACUAGUGGCCAGGGCCCAAUGUGCAGCGCUGGAGAUGAGAAGAGGCCAACUAAGAGGGGCCCUAGUGAAAUCGAGCGCAGGACAGGUUGGCAACCGAGCCCAAAAACAGACAGGGCCAAUGUUUUCUCCGUGAUCGACUGUUUGUUGUUGGGGGGAAUUUUGGGCCAACUGAAAUUAAAGAGGCUACUAUGUUCUUUGGUAUAGGCCACUGUAAACAUAAACAAUGUGUUUUGUGUUUAUGGAUAGCAAUUAGGCUACUUUGAAUUGUGGUGGUGGAAUAGCACUUGCAUUAAUAUAAUGCAUUUAUCUCUGUUGCCUGAUUCAGAAGUUCAGAGGAUAAGACUGAUAACUGUAUGUAUAUUUUUGACAUUCACUUUUUUUUUCUCCACUUGUAUUUAUAAAAUGGAUGUAUUGUGAUUUUUAGGAGAACUUUAUUAAACAUUUCAAUAUUGUUAA